AGCUGGAAGAAACGAAGAACCUCAACAAUUUUUAUUUCUACUUUUGAUCAAGGAAAAGCGUAUUUAGAAGGUUCGCUAGAGAAAAAUUUAGCAGUUUGGAGGAUUGAGAUCCUUUGGCAGAGAUAUGGGAGUGUGAGCAGGAAAUAUUUUUUUAAAGGAAGAGCUGGUGUUUUAGGAUGUCAAAGGUACAAAUUAUGAUGGUGCCAUGGUUGACAGAAAUUUGCAAGAUCUCCGUAUCUACAUGAACUCUUUGCUCCUGACUAUUAGCUGACUGGUCCAGAAAUUCUUGAUCCAAGCUUGAUAUGUAAGCUUCUCUCUCCUGUGAAUAUGGCACUGAGAGACACAAGAUUAGAAGCCCUGGGUGCUGAUCAAACUCAUAGCAAGGAAGAGUGGUGGCUCAAGACUGCCUGCUCCUGAGACUUCUGAGAAGGGUGUCUCUCUGUCUGUGUGGAUGCCUGAUGCUUCUGGUAUUUCACAAAUCUUGAGCCUGGCCAGGAGUUUACUAACAGGCACCCCUGUGUCAUCUGAACAAGUAACUGGAAGAACCUAACACAGACACCUGUAGGGCAGGACUCCUUAUUUUCUGACUCCCUGGCUCUGACCACAGAUAAAUAUCCCGCAGUGGAAUCAGCCUUCCCAGGGACCUCCCUGGACUCUGAGAAGUGAUUAAAGGGACUGUGCGGCAGUCAUGGGGAUGCAAGCAGCUGUGGCCAUCAAACUGGUUCUAACAGACAGUAUGAGAUCUUCAUGAUUCUGGACCAUAAGGAUUCCAAAUAGGCUGUUCACUUAUGAGUAGGCCUGUAACACGGACGUGUGAGAAUAAACGCCAGAGAAAAAUUUUUGUGGCUGGUCUACUUGUGGGUACAAAGGCCCAGACCCAUUGUUUCAACUGGAGACCUGUGAAGGGCGAUCCCAGCCUCAGAACCUCGCAUGGGAUGGACUCAGUACUCUGCUGCAACUGCAUUUCAGUUUAACUUCUCCCUUUACCCAGUCCUAACUUCCUUAUUCCCUAAAAAAUGUUUCUGGGAGUGCUCCUCAGUAAACUUCAUGCAUAAACACUUCAGAGGCUCAGAGUAUGUUUCCUGGAGAAUUCCAUCUGUGGCGUUUCCUCUUCAUGCCUACUGCCACCAUCCAGGUUUAGGCCCCCAUUACCGCUUACCUGGAAUAUUGCAAAAGCUUUAUCACUAUUCUCUUUGCUCACUGGCUCUCCUAUAAUCAGUCUACACAACAGCAGACUAAUUUUUUUUAUCCCAGAUCAUAGCUCUUAUGCUGUUUUCCUGCUCAAAAACUUUGGUGGCCCCCCAGUCUAUUUAAUUAGGUUCUUACUCCUUAUUGUGAUUUUCAAGACCCUUCCCAAUUUAGCCCCCACUAUUUUCAGCUCUCAUCUUCUACUCCAGUAUAAGUAUGCUCCGCUCCAUUUAAACUAGAACAUUUGCAAUCCUCCAAAUCUACUGUAAAAAUUCAUUUUUCCUAUAUUUGUUCCAAAUGUUCUCUUCUAUUAUCUUCUUUAUAAAAUUUGAACCAUAUUUCAAGGUCCAUUCUCCUUUUUCUUUUUCAUUUUUUUUCUAGAUGGAGUCUCGCACUGUCGCCCAGGCUAGAGUGCAGUGGCGCGAUCUCGGCUUACUGCAACCUCCGCCUCCUGGGUUCAAGCGAUUCUCCUGCCUCAGCCUUCCGAGUAGCUGGGAUUACAGGUGCCCCCCACCACACCCAGCUAAUUUUUGUAUUUUUAGUAGAGACGGGAUUUCACUGUAUUGGCCAGGCUGGUCUCAAACUCCUAACCUUGUGAUCUACCCACCUCGGCCUCCCAAAGUGCUGGGAUUACAGGCGUGAGCCACUGCUCCUGGCCAGGCUUAAGGUCCAUUGUGAGAGCAAUAUUCAUUCUUGGCAUACCUGUAUCAAUGUAUCUUAUGUACCCCAUAAAUAUAUAUCCCUACUAUGUGACCAAAAAAAUUAAAAAUAAAAUAAAAAUUUAAAACCCAUACAUUCUCCAUGCAGAUUUUCCUCGUACCUCAACCCAAUGUCAUCUCUUCUUCAUUAGUUAUCCCAAUGCAGUUUGUACUUCUCCUUGGUAUCUAUUGAUUAUAUUUACUGUGUGUCAAUUUCACCAUUUUACCUCUCUUCCCUAUCCUUUCACCUGCACUGAUAGAAUGUAACUGUGAGAGCAAGAUUUUACCUCAAUCAUCUUUGUAUCACUUGAAACAAGAAGCAUCAUCCUUAAUCCUGGAGUUCAAUAAAUCAUUAAUAAAUUCAAUUGAAUACAAGCUGCCAAUUUGUUUGACAUUUUUGUGAAUGC
This 2293-nucleotide long non-coding RNA is filed under the name Homo sapiens (human). RNAcentral describes it as "HSALNT0114143". The record is from RNAcentral. Lineage: Eukaryota; Metazoa; Chordata; Mammalia; Primates; Hominidae.